UAUUAUGAACAGCAAUGUCUAAGUGCACCUUCGUAAUAGGAUUCCCGGCCGCAAUAAUCUUCCAGAAACGAGAUCGUAUUAGAGAAUUACAGUUCCAAAUACCCAGUCAAACAAAGUACAUGCAGAAACUGAUUAAACGAGUAGAUUAUGAGUGAGAAAUUACUUUCUAAACCAAUAUCUUUGUGGGGAUUUGUGAAGCGCUGGAAAUUAAAGCCGCAGGUGACUGAAACGGAUCAUGUGAAAAGGAUCAAAGGAAUCGAACGGAAGGUUAUUCAAUAUUUGACCUUUGCUUUGAAAGCUCACCGCUUGAUAUAGAACUUCAAGGAAGUGAAGAUUCGUGGAGAGGAAUUUCCUGGAGCUGAUUAUAAAGGAGAAUGCCUUAUGGCAGAAUAUUCAGAAAAUGUACAGAACCCAUUAAGAUAUGGUCACUCAAAAACACUAAAUAUAGGAAAAUAUAGGAAAGUAUAUCAAAAGGAGUAACGCGUACAGGAAGAGCAACUAUUAUGAAGAAGAAUGUCUUAUGACAAGAUUCAGAAAAAGUACAGAACCUCUCUUAGGACGUGGUAACUGACUGGCCAUUCAGAAAUACUAAACACAGGAAAAUCUCAAGGAAGUGUAUCAAAAGGCGUGAUUAUGAGAAGAGCAUCCAUGUCCAUAUCGUUCAGAAACCAUGCAAGAAAUACCGCGUUCACCGAAACACUGAGACUUCAUUCGAUUGGCUGCUACGUAGACCAUGUGACCUACCAUAUAAGGAGAUGGUGGAGAGGAAUAGAUGAGGUGGUGUAUCAACAGCUGCUCAGGUGUCCAUUGAGGUCUACUAUACCGUCUUCAUCCGCGCCCUUGGUGUAAGCAGGGUUGCUGAACAUCAUUUGUCCACCUUCGUAAAACACGUUGUCUGGAAUAUCUUUUAUUGGCUCUAAAUUAAAACAAAAAUAUAGACCAUAUGAAAAAGGGCAUGUCCUUUGAGAUACAUUCGUUCAUCAGUAGAAGUCAAUAAUGCUUUCAUUAGAAAGAGUAUAUGGAAAUUAGUGAUCUUCCAAAAUUUUAGUGUAGUAGCAUUAAAUGAUAAAAAGCUACAGCUGUUUGAAAUUAGAAAGGUUUGUAUGGAAACAACAACCAAGGGCCUACCAGCUUCGCCAUCAUGUUUUUGGUACAUUUCAAAUGCUUUUAACUCUUCAGGGAUUUAAUAUAUGACAACAGAACUUUCUGAAAUUACUAAUUUAGACAUGGUCUUUCUCGUAAUGAAAAUAUAUUUUUGAAAUCAUUACUUGUUUUUUGUGGUGCUCGUUCCCAGUCUUACACUCGUUUUUCAUAUGGUCUAUUAAGCAAUGAAUUCAGAACAUUGACCACACAUGAAUAUUAAUGGCAAUUAUUAAAACCUGUUUACAAGGUCGAACUUUCUACUGUAUUGAACGCGCGAACGUAAAUUUCUUACAACCAAGACUUGGGCUACUCAAAUUUCAAGUUAGGUUUGAUAUUCUCCAAGAUGCAUCAUUCAAAUCAUGUAAAAAUAUUUAACCAUUCAACUAUUUACUUCAUGUAGAAUCGAUGCUGGAAAUAUUGAUUUAGGUGUUGUUCAACUCACUUGAUGGGACUGGUUUACUUCGUCUCCUGACCACAAAGAACACAAUAAGUCCUCCAACGAUGGAACCAAGUAUACUAAAUACGACCGCUACAGCAAUGGUUUUGGUUUGCUUUUCUGGAAAGAACAAUCAUAAAGUACAUUGAAUAAAUGACUUAUGAACAGUUGGCAUUAGAGUGCAGAGAACACAAGUACCGUGUACUGUAGCUGUAAUAGCUCUUGCAACAUCGAGCUAGCUUACCUUUAAAUCCCUUGUCACACUGGCAGUAAUUAUCAGCGGUUGUCAUGUUGCAGACACAAGUACCGUGGUCGCUACAGCCGCAUGGAUCAAAUCGCGCCAUCCCUGGAAAAGAAGUAAUAACAUUAAGACACUAUGGUAUAACUAUGGAAAAGAGACAUGGAAAUCAUGGAAAUAAGACAACACAAUGCAGUAACAUAUGUUGUGAUGCUCAUGAUUUAAUCCUGAAAUAAAAAUAUAUGAACACGCUC
Molecule: long non-coding RNA, 2071 nt
Filed under: Actinia tenebrosa (Australian red waratah sea anemone)
Lineage: Eukaryota; Metazoa; Cnidaria; Anthozoa; Actiniaria; Actiniidae
Description: uncharacterized LOC116300564, transcript variant X2
Source: RNAcentral